GAGUUUGAUCCUGGCUCAGGACGAACGCUGGCGGCGUGCUUAACACAUGCAAGUCGAACGAGAAUCUACGGAUCGAGGAUUCGUCCAAGUGAAGUAGAGGACAGUGGCGGACGGGUGAGUAACGCGUGAGGAACCUGCCUUUCAGAGGGGGACAACAGUUGGAAACGACUGCUAAUACCGCAUGACACAUUGGGGUCGCAUGGCUCUGAUGUCAAAGAUUUAUCGCUGAAAGAUGGCCUCGCGUCUGAUUAGCUAGUUGGUGAGGUAACGGCCCACCAAGGCGACGAUCAGUAGCCGGACUGAGAGGUUGACCGGCCACAUUGGGACUGAGAUACGGCCCAGACUCCUACGGGAGGCAGCAGUGGGGAAUAUUGCACAAUGGGGGAAACCCUGAUGCAGCGACGCCGCGUGGAGGAAGAAGGUCUUCGGAUUGUAAACUCCUGUUGUUGAGGAAGAUAAUGACGGUACUCAACAAGGAAGUGACGGCUAACUACGUGCCAGCCGCCGCGGUAAUAC
RNAcentral lists this ribosomal RNA (516 nucleotides) under uncultured bacterium. RNAcentral describes it as "bacterial SSU rRNA". It matches the Rfam family "Bacterial small subunit ribosomal RNA", at positions 9 to 526 of the family's 1533-position model. The record is from RNAcentral.